GGGUACCUUGUUACGACUUCUCCUCGUUGCUGACCCCAGGUUCGAUAGUACCAAUUAGGCGCUACCUCGCCAAGAACCAACUUCGAUGAAGCGACGGGCGGUGUGUGCAAGGAG
Molecule: ribosomal RNA, 114 nt
Filed under: uncultured archaeon
Lineage: Archaea
Description: partial 16S ribosomal RNA
Source: RNAcentral